Molecule: ribosomal RNA, 497 nt
Filed under: uncultured bacterium
Lineage: Bacteria
Description: partial 16S ribosomal RNA
Rfam family: Bacterial small subunit ribosomal RNA
Source: RNAcentral
GAUGAACGCUGGCGGCGUGCCUAAUACAUGCAAGUCGAGCGAACGGACGAGAAGUUUGUUGCGCUGAUGUUUGCGGCGGACGGGUGUGUAACACGUGGAAAACCUACCUAUAAGACGAGGAAAACUUCGGGAAACCGGAUCUAAUAGCGGAUGAUAUGUUGACCCGUAUGGUUCAAAAGGGAAAGACGUUCUUGCGGGCACUUAUAGAUGGAUCCGCGCUGCUUUAGCUAGUUGGUAAGGUAACGGCUUACCAAGGCAACGAUGCCUAGCCGACCUGAGGGGCGGAUCGGCCACCUUGGAACUCGGACACGCUCCAUGCUCCUGCGAGAGGCAGCAGUAGCGUACCGGACGCAACGGGCGAGAACAUGACACAGCGGGCGCACGUCAGAUGUGAAGACGUUCGGAUCGUAAAACUGUGUUAUGGGGUAAAAACAUAUGUCUAAAUAAAAGUAGACAUCGUGACGGUACCUGCAGAAAAAGCACCGGCUAACUACGUG